Molecule: ribosomal RNA, 457 nt
Filed under: uncultured bacterium
Lineage: Bacteria
Description: bacterial SSU rRNA
Rfam family: Bacterial small subunit ribosomal RNA
Source: RNAcentral
AUUGAACGCUGGCGGCAUGCCUUACACAUGCAAGUCGAACGGCAGCGGACCUUCGGGUGCCGGCGAGUGGCGAACGGGUGAGUAAUAUAUCGGAACGUACCUUUCAGUGGGGGAUAACGUAGCGAAAGUUACGCUAAUACCGCAUAUUCUGUGAGCAGGAAAGCAGGGGAUCGCAAGACCUUGCGCUGAUUGAGCGGCCGAUAUCAGAUUAGCUAGUUGGUGAGGUAAAGGCUCACCAAGGCGACGAUCUGUAGCGGGUCUGAGAGGAUGAUCCGCCACACUGGAACUGAGACACGGUCCAGACUCCUACGGGAGGCAGCAGUGGGGAAUUUUGGACAAUGGGCGCAAGCCUGAUCCAGCCAUGCCGCGUGGACGAUGAAGGCCUUGGGUCGUAAAGUCCUUUUUGAGGGGAAGAGGAAGGACGGGUACCCUCAGAAUAAGCCUCGGCUAACUACGU